This is a long non-coding RNA of Papaver somniferum (opium poppy), 1492 nucleotides long. RefSeq lists it as uncharacterized. The transcript is spliced from 2 exons. The record is from RefSeq and is a predicted model, not a curated record. NCBI's taxonomy places the organism in Eukaryota, Viridiplantae, Streptophyta, Magnoliopsida, Ranunculales, Papaveraceae.
GUUCCUUCAAAACCAGGCUCAAAGUGGAAGGACUUCAAAAUCAGGUCAUGUUGCUGAAGACAUGUACCAUUGGCAAGCAACAAUCAUGGGUCCUCCAGACAGGCUGUACGUAGAGGGAGUCUUUUUAGUGGCGACUUGCGAUUCACUUUUCUCCAGAUUAUCCAUUUAAACCCCCAAAGGUAACUGUUCAAACCCAUGCAUAUCAAAUAAGAAGGAAAAGGUAAUAUAGUACCGUGUGCUCUAUGUAACCAUUCUUCUUGUCUAAGGGACCGAAUUAUGAAAUACAAGGUUUUGGCAUAAUCAAGUCAGGUAAGUUAUUUAUUUAUCCUAUGCACGAUGUGCAUCAAUGUAUCAGACAUGUAGAAUGCAUAUGCCAUUUCCGAGGCAGGUUAUGUUGUUAUAACUAUUCAGUUGGGAAAGAUUAGGACUGUUCAGUUGGACUACACUGAUGAGAAAGAGAACCUCCUGCAAGCUUCUUGCAAAGCUCUUGUUAGUUCGAUUACUAUUCAGGGAAAUUCCAGACAGAACUGUCUUCAUCCAGAAAGGCAUUAAAACAGUUUUGAGGCCAUACUUUGAGCUUGCAAAUGUGACUCUUGAAACUUGCACUAAAUGAUUGCCUAGUUCUUUUGCUCACCACGUUGGUUAAACACCUGCAGACCUGCUUGCUUUUUUCUCUGUAUCUUUUUUGUUUUGUAAAUAUGUUUGUUUUCUGUGACAUACAUUUCCACUUGUAAAUUAAGUCACUUGACUCGGUUAGGUGGGUGCUGCCAGUAUUGGUGAUUUAGAGUUGUGUGGUAAUGUUGCGGAUAAAUUUGCAAGUACUGCCAGCUCAAACAGGACUCCCAAUCUAAUUGUGGGGUUGCGAAAUAAUGUCAUCAGGACAGGGCUUCACAUUAAGCAUCUCUUAUUCUCACAUUUCACUUGUUGAUGCUGCUCAUGAGCUGAGGUUGGACUCACCCGAACCCUAUGGCGGAUGCUGAGAACAUUGUAGCCAAGGAAAUCCGAGAUGUUGCCAUCGAUGUAACUUUGGACCAUGCAAAUGGGUGGAUGGUAUCAAGGAGACUGGUAAUGUUUACUCCAAACAUGACGUCAAUCUGCUUUCAACUCGAGGAUUGCCUUCUGUCUCAAUACAUGCAUACUGAGGCUGUGCGCACAGUGUUCCUCUUCAAAUUCACACAAGGAGGAAAAGGAAAGUGCAGAAAAGAGGAGCGAGAGACAACAACAGGAUACAGAGAUUCUGAAGCGUAUUGCCGAGGGUGACGAUGAGUUUUAAUUCUCACCUGCCAGUUUUUAUUGCCGAGGAGUGUGACGAUGAGUUCUAAUUCUCACCUGCCAGCUUUUCUCAAGUUAAUAGUUAUCACGGACACGAUACCAUUCCCUGUAUUUGUAAAAACUGUUCUUGGUAGAUUUAAAAGGAAGAUAAUAAACAACAUGGUUACCAAAUAAUUUUUCAUAUAAAUCAUUUUUUUUAGGUAAUAGAUUAUUCUGUAAA